This 107-nucleotide unclassified non-coding RNA is filed under the name Chryseobacterium jejuense. RNAcentral describes it as "Flavo-1 RNA". The record is from RNAcentral. Lineage: Bacteria; Pseudomonadati; Bacteroidota; Flavobacteriia; Flavobacteriales; Weeksellaceae.
CCCUAGCCCCGAUAGUAGCGGUUACCCCACAGCAAGCGGUUAGCCCUUCGACUUUGCUUAGGCUAACGUUUUGGCGCGAGGAGUAUGAGUGGAUAGCGGGAUGAAGC